RNAcentral lists this ribosomal RNA (600 nucleotides) under Salmonella enterica subsp. enterica serovar Agona. RNAcentral's name for it is "bacterial SSU rRNA". It matches the Rfam family "Bacterial small subunit ribosomal RNA", at positions 1 to 592 of the family's 1533-position model. The record is from RNAcentral. Lineage: Bacteria; Pseudomonadati; Pseudomonadota; Gammaproteobacteria; Enterobacterales; Enterobacteriaceae.
AAAUUGAAGAGUUUGAUCAUGGCUCAGAUUGAACGCUGGCGGCAGGCCUAACACAUGCAAGUCGAACGGUAGCACAGAGAGCUUGCUCUCGGGUGACGAGUGGCGGACGGGUGAGUAAUGUCUGGGAAACUGCCUGAUGGAGGGGGAUAACUACUGGAAACGGUGGCUAAUACCGCAUAACGUCGCAAGACCAAAGAGGGGGACCUUCGGGCCUCUUGCCAUCAGAUGUGCCCAGAUGGGAUUAGCUGGUUGGUGAGGUAACGGCUCACCAAGGCGACGAUCCCUAGCUGGUCUGAGAGGAUGACCAGCCACACUGGAACUGAGACACGGUCCAGACUCCUACGGGAGGCAGCAGUGGGGAAUAUUGCACAAUGGGCGCAAGCCUGAUGCAGCCAUGCCGCGUGUAUGAAGAAGGCCUUCGGGUUGUAAAGUACUUUCAGCGGGGAGGAAGGUGUUGUGGUUAAUAACCGCAGCAAUUGACGUUACCCGCAGAAGAAGCACCGGCUAACUCCGUGCCAGCAGCCGCGGUAAUACGGAGGGUGCAAGCGUUAAUCGGAAUUACUGGGCGUAAAGCGCACGCAGGCGGUCUGUCAAGUCGGA